CCACACCAUCGCUGGAAUUAUAAAAAUACCAAGAAAAUUUCUGUUGAUAAUGGAUUAAUGGAAUCAUAGACUUUUAGAGUUGAACAUUUGAGUUUAUCCAGUGCCUGGUUCCAGAUGAGGUGAACAGAGGCUCAGAGAGCCAAGAUACCCACCUUGGAGCCCAAGCUGAGGGGUAUUUUCGAUGUGUAUCUUGUGGAACCAGUCCUGCCAAUCUCAUCCAGUGACUAAAAAUGCCUAACCUCCUGGGAAUGGAGGUCAAGCAAGUUUCAGCCUCAUUUUACACAACACCUAUUCAAGAUGGAGGUGCUCUGGUUCAAAUCACUCUGACAAGCAGUCACUACCCCUGCCCCAAAGCCAAGCAUUGUAGGGAAUCUUAUCUGGUAACAAAGAGUUGAUCUGAAGUGAUGUUUGAAAAUGAGUGGGGUGGUUGUUUGUUGAAUCAGUGAGACAAUGAGUAGGGAAUGAGGGAGACUGUCAUUUAAUUGGUAAAGACCAGAGGUGCUAAUUGUUCUGCAAUUCCAUAGCAUUUCACUCAGCAUUCCACAAAAUCAAGCAUGCUCCCUCCCGAAAUAUUCACAUCGCCCCACUGAGAAACUGCCCCAGAGCACCCUGGGGAAGCUCAGCUUUGCAUUCCCACUUCUAUUAGACAGCCUUUGUGACACACACACCUUGUCCCUGUGAACAUGGUGAAUGGAAAUUAUCUUCUCCACAUUAACUUUGAAUACAUGGGCCAAGGAAAUGGCCCUAGGUGUAUACCAGUCCUGCUUCUUUCUCACUCCUUGGCUAGAGAAAGAAAGAAUUUAGCAAAUUCAUCAUUAGUCAAGAAUAAGGGGCUGCAUUUUGUUUUAAAAAUCCUCUCCUUCCAUUUUCAAUUCUAGUACAGGCCAUAUCAGAAUUAUAAUUAAUGAAAUAAAUGUUAAUUCAAAUUAUCUAUAUUUAAUGAGUUCAUGAUUCAUUAACUUGAAAAGAAUCCAUUUGUUUGCAUAAAAUGAAUCUCAAUGAUGGAACUAUAUAAUUAUUUAGUAUGAAUGAUGAUAGUGCACUUAAUAAAAUUAGAACAAUUUUUUGGUUAAUGUUACAGAUUAGG
This 1087-nucleotide long non-coding RNA is filed under the name Homo sapiens (human). RNAcentral's name for it is "HSALNT0041391". The record is from RNAcentral. Lineage: Eukaryota; Metazoa; Chordata; Mammalia; Primates; Hominidae.